This 443-nucleotide ribosomal RNA is filed under the name uncultured bacterium. Its description in RNAcentral is "bacterial SSU rRNA". It matches the Rfam family "Bacterial small subunit ribosomal RNA", at positions 29 to 490 of the family's 1533-position model. The record is from RNAcentral.
AUUGAACGCUGGCGGCACGCCUUACACAUGCAAGUCGAACGGCAGCACGGGGGCAACCCUGGUGGCGAGUGGCGAACGGGUGAGUAAUAUAUCGGAACGUGCCCUGGAGUGGGGGAUAACUAGUCGAAAGAUUAGCUAAUACCGCAUACGAUCUACGGAUGAAAGUGGGGGACCGCAAGGCCUCAUGCUCGUGGAGCGGCCGAUAUCUGAUUAGCUAGUUGGUGGGGUAAGAGCCCACCAAGGCAACGAUCAGUAGCUGGUUUGAGAGAACGACCAGCCACACUGGGACUGAGACACGGCCCAGACUCCUACGGGAGGCAGCAGUGGGGAAUUUUGGACAAUGGGGGCAACCCUGAUCCAGCAAUGCCGCGUGAGUGAUGAAGGCCCUAGGGGUUGUAAAGCUCUUUCGCCCGCGACGAUGAUGACGGUAGCGGGAGAAGAAG